RNAcentral lists this long non-coding RNA (212 nucleotides) under Setaria italica (foxtail millet). RNAcentral's name for it is "long non-coding RNA (SITA_LNC001949)". Lineage: Eukaryota; Viridiplantae; Streptophyta; Magnoliopsida; Poales; Poaceae. The record is from RNAcentral.
GUAAAACGGCUUCUCAAUGGUAAUAUAUGUAAUUUUAUGAUCACUUAAUGCUUGGAGAGAGAGGAGAAGCCGGUGAAGCCACUUUUUUCGGCUUCUCCUCUCUAGUGUAAGCCGUUUUGCGGCUUCUCCCCGGCUUUGGUGGUGAAGCCGUUUUGAAAUUGGUCCUUUGGUAGGGCUUCACCAAAAGUCGGUGGAGAAGCACUUUGAGAAGC